This 253-nucleotide ribosomal RNA is filed under the name uncultured bacterium. RNAcentral describes it as "partial 16S ribosomal RNA". It matches the Rfam family "Bacterial small subunit ribosomal RNA", at positions 524 to 776 of the family's 1533-position model. The record is from RNAcentral.
UACGUAGGGGCCAAGCGUUGUCCGGAGUUACUGGGCGUAAAGCGCGCGCAGGUGGCUCAUUACGCCCGGCGUGAAAGCCCCCGGCCUAACCGGGGAGGGUCGUCGGGGACGGGUGAGCUUGAGGGUAGCAGGGGCUGGUAGAAUUCCCGGUGUAGUGGUGAAAUGCGUAGAGAUCGGGAGGAAUACCCGUGGCGAAGGCGGCCAGCUGGGCUACACCUGACACUGAGGCGCGAAGGCGUGGGGAGCGAACGGG